CUCAUGUUUCGAGUGGUUAUAGCUGCUCUGUGGUCACCAGCUUUCUGCUCCGUCGACAUCCAAGACUCUCAACUCCAAUGGCCUUGAGGUGAAGAUCUCUCAGGACACGACAACUUCUCCUGUGUGACAACAACAACAACACCUUCAUUCACAGAUACAGCUUAUAGCGUCAAUACAAGAUCCUCAUCCCUCACCUUUUUCAGACGCCUCUUGGCUACUGAUGCUGAGUUAAAUUCCAAGGAUAAGAAGAGCAGGGUUUUCGCCAAGAUUUUUUGAGGAGCCGCCACAGCCCCCCUAAUGGAACGGAACGCAGCCAAUCAAGAUGUGAUAGAGAAACAGAGGGGAACGUUUUUAUUUCAUGUACUGAAUUGGUGACAGUAAAAAUGUUGAGAAGUAAAUGUGCCUCCAAUCCGAGCCAUCCUGCCAGCUGAAAUCUUUUCAUAUGACCAACAGGAAUAUGCGACUUCAGUUCCGUGAUCGCAGGACUUUCUGUCUUCUGUUUCUUUUCUCAGGAUUUUUCCACAAAUAACUCACCGAUAACUGUCAUGUUCACCCCCACCUCCAAGAUGUGUUAUGUGUUAUCAGUUACUUUCCAUGUUUCCACUUUGUUUAAUACAUUUGAUCACGUGAGCGUUCAUCAAAGACCAUUUUUUGGAAGGCAUGGUGGCUCUCAUCUCUACUUUAUAUGUGGCAGAAACC
Molecule: long non-coding RNA, 699 nt
Organism: Synchiropus splendidus (mandarinfish)
Lineage: Eukaryota; Metazoa; Chordata; Actinopteri; Syngnathiformes; Callionymidae
Exons: 3
Source: RefSeq, a predicted model, not a curated record